AUUGAACGCUGGCGGCAGGCCUAACACAUGCAAGUCGAGCGGUAGAGAGGUGCUUGCAUCUCUUGAGAGCGGCGGACGGGUGAGUAAUGCCUAGGAAUCUGCCUAGUGGUGGGGGAUAACGUUCGGAAACGGACGCUAAUACCGCAUACGUCCUACGGGAGAAAGCGGGGGAUCUUCGGACCUCGCGCCAUUAGAUGAGCCUAGGUCGGAUUAGCUAGUUGGUGAGGUAAUGGCUCACCAAGGCGACGAUCCGUAACUGGUCUGAGAGGAUGAUCAGUCACACUGGAACUGAGACACGGUCCAGACUCCUACGGGAGGCAGCAGUGGGGAAUAUUGGACAAUGGGCGAAAGCCUGAUCCAGCCAUGCCGCGUGUGUGAAGAAGGUCUUCGGAUUGU
RNAcentral lists this ribosomal RNA (396 nucleotides) under uncultured bacterium. RNAcentral's name for it is "bacterial SSU rRNA". It matches the Rfam family "Bacterial small subunit ribosomal RNA", at positions 30 to 426 of the family's 1533-position model. The record is from RNAcentral.